GCAGCAGGUCGGUUUGUCGCCCCGUAAACCGGGGAGGAAAGUCCGGGCAACGCAGAGCACCAUAUUUCCUAACGGGAAGCUGUUCGUGAGGGCAGAUUAGCGUAACAGAAAAUAACCGCCUUGUUUACAAGGUAAGGGUGAAAAGGUGAGGUAAAAGCUCACCGGGUACCAUGGCAACAUGGUAUGCCGUACGCAUUAUGGGUUGCAAGGCCAUGUAUAUCGGAUAAUUAGGGUUGCUCGCCCGAUGCCGAGGGGUAGGCCGCUUAGAUAAAUGACAAACAUCCCUUAUGGGACACAGAACCCGGCUUAUAGACCGGCUGCUUUU
This is a non-coding RNA of Fermentimonas caenicola, 325 nucleotides long. It matches the Rfam family "Bacterial RNase P class A". From Rfam's summary of the family: Ribonuclease P (RNase P) is a ubiquitous endoribonuclease, found in archaea, bacteria and eukarya as well as chloroplasts and mitochondria. Its best characterised activity is the generation of mature 5'-ends of tRNAs by cleaving the 5'-leader elements of precursor-tRNAs. Cellular RNase Ps are ribonucleoproteins. Lineage: Bacteria; Pseudomonadati; Bacteroidota; Bacteroidia; Bacteroidales; Dysgonomonadaceae. The record is from Rfam.